CUUGGCAUGUUCUCAGCAGAAAACACCUUCUCUAUAUAUCUCCUUUUACCUGUUUCCUGUAAAAUGGGAAGGAAUAAUGAGGGACUACUUUAUUAUCAGUUAAACUAGAUUUAGGCCGGGUGUGGUGACUCAGUCCUGUAAUUUCAGCCGUUUGGGAGGCCAGGGUGUGAGGAUCAUUUGAGCUCAGGAGUUCAAGACCAGCCUGGGCAACAUAGUGAGACCUCAUCUCUACAAAAAAAUUAGCCAUGUGCCUUUGGUCCCAGCUAUACAGGAAGCUGAGGCAGGGAUAUCGUUUGAGCCCAGACCCUGUUUGCGCCACACUGCAGUCCAGCCUGGGGGACAGAGCAAGACUCUGUCUAAAAAAAACUAGAUUUAAAAUGAAAAAUCCAGAAGAAUGCUCAGUGUUACUAAAAUCUGUGAGUUUAUAGAUAUCUUCUAGUUUAUUUAAUAAAAACUAUUUUAUCGUAACAACUAAUGUAUGGAUUUUUUUUAUUAGAUGGAAACAAUAUGAAGCAUAUGUACAAGCUUUGGAGGGCAAGUACACAGAUCUUAACUCUAAUGAUGUAACUGGCCUAAGAGAGUCUG
RNAcentral lists this small RNA (585 nucleotides) under Pongo abelii (Sumatran orangutan). RNAcentral's name for it is "retained intron". The record is from RNAcentral. Lineage: Eukaryota; Metazoa; Chordata; Mammalia; Primates; Hominidae.